This 256-nucleotide ribosomal RNA is filed under the name uncultured bacterium. RNAcentral describes it as "partial 16S ribosomal RNA". It matches the Rfam family "Bacterial small subunit ribosomal RNA", at positions 524 to 776 of the family's 1533-position model. The record is from RNAcentral.
UACGGAGGGGGCGAGCGUUAUUCGGAAUUAUUGGGCGUAAAGGGCGCGUAGGCGGCCUGAUAAGUCAAAGGUGAAAUCCCUCGGCUCAACUGAGGAAUUGCCUUUGAAACUGUCAGGCUUGAGGCCGGGAGGGGGUGGCGGAAUUCCCAGUGUAGCGGUGAAAUGCGUUGAUCUACAGAGGAACACCAAAAAAGGCGAAGGCAGUCAACUAUUCUGUUCCUGACAUUGAGGCAUGAAAGCGUGGGGAGCAAACCGG